AAUCAACGCUGGCGGCGUGCCUAACACAUGCAAGUCGAACGCGAAAGUGGAGCAAUCCAUGAGUAGAGUGGCAAACGGGUGAGUAACACGUGGGUGACCUGCCUUAGAGUGGGGGAUAACGUCCCGAAAGGGACGCUAAUACCGCAUAACAUGCUGCCUUUUAAGAGGUGGACAUCAAAGCCGGGGACCGCAAGGCCUGGCGCUUAAAGAGGGGCCCGCGCCUGAUUAGCUAGUUGGUGGGGUAAUGGCUCACCAAGGCAACGAUCAGUAUCCGGCCUGAGAGGGCGGACGGACACACUGGGACUGAGACACGGCCCAGACUCCUACGGGAGGCAGCAGUGGGGAAUUGUUCGCAAUGGGCGCAAGCCUGACGACGCAACGCCGCGUGGAGGAUGAAGAUCUUCGGGUUGUAAACUCCUUUCGAUCGAGACGAAUGGCCCUUGGGCUAACAUCCUGAGGGAGUGACGGUACCGAGAGAAGAAGCCCCGGCUAACUCCGUGCC
RNAcentral lists this ribosomal RNA (502 nucleotides) under uncultured bacterium. Its description in RNAcentral is "bacterial SSU rRNA". It matches the Rfam family "Bacterial small subunit ribosomal RNA", at positions 32 to 509 of the family's 1533-position model. The record is from RNAcentral.